Molecule: ribosomal RNA, 671 nt
Filed under: Klebsiella michiganensis
Lineage: Bacteria; Pseudomonadati; Pseudomonadota; Gammaproteobacteria; Enterobacterales; Enterobacteriaceae
Description: partial 23S ribosomal RNA
Rfam family: Bacterial large subunit ribosomal RNA
Source: RNAcentral
GGGUAGUUUGACUGGGGCGGUCUCCUCCUAAAGAGUAACGGAGGAGCACGAAGGUCAGCUAAUCCUGGUCGGACAUCAGGAGGUUAGUGCAAUGGCAUAAGCUGGCUUGACUGCGAGCGUGACGGCGCGAGCAGGUGCGAAAGCAGGUCAUAGUGAUCCGGUGGUUCUGAAUGGAAGGGCCAUCGCUCAACGGAUAAAAGGUACUCCGGGGAUAACAGGCUGAUACCGCCCAAGAGUUCAUAUCGACGGCGGUGUUUGGCACCUCGAUGUCGGCUCAUCACAUCCUGGGGCUGAAGUAGGUCCCAAGGGUAUGGCUGUUCGCCAUUUAAAGUGGUACGCGAGCUGGGUUUAGAACGUCGUGAGACAGUUCGGUCCCUAUCUGCCGUGGGCGCUGGAGAAUUGAGGGGGGCUGCUCCUAGUACGAGAGGACCGGAGUGGACGCAUCACUGGUGUUCGGGUUGUCAUGCCAAUGGCAUUGCCCGGUAGCUAAAUGCGGAAGAGAUAAGUGCUGAAAGCAUCUAAGCACGAAACUUGCCCCGAGAUGAGUUCUCCCUGACUCCUUGAGAGUCCUGAAGGAACGUUGAAGACGACGACGUUGAUAGGCCGGGUGUGUAAGCGCAGCGAUGCGUUGAGCUAACCGGUACUAAUGAACCGUGAGGCUUAACCUUACA